This 521-nucleotide ribosomal RNA is filed under the name uncultured bacterium. Its description in RNAcentral is "bacterial SSU rRNA". It matches the Rfam family "Bacterial small subunit ribosomal RNA", at positions 99 to 634 of the family's 1533-position model. The record is from RNAcentral.
CGGACGGGUGAGUAACGCGUGAGGAACCUGCCUUGGAGAGGGGAAUAACACUCCGAAAGGAGUGCUAAUACCGCAUGAUGCAGUUGGGUCGCAUGGCUCUGACUGCCAAAGAUUUAUCGCUCUGAGAUGGCCUCGCGUCUGAUUAGCUAGUAGGCGGGGUAACGGCCCACCUAGGCGACGAUCAGUAGCCGGACUGAGAGGUUGACCGGCCACAUUGGGACUGAGACACGGCCCAGACUCCUACGGGAGGCAGCAGUGGGGAAUAUUGGGCAAUGGGCGCAAGCCUGACCCAGCAACGCCGCGUGAAGGAAGAAGGCUUUCGGGUUGUAAACUUCUUUUGUCGGGGACGAAACAAAUGACGGUACCCGACGAAUAAGCCACGGCUAACUACGUGCCAGCAGCCGCGGUAAUACGUAGGUGGCAAGCGUUAUCCGGAUUUACUGGGUGUAAAGGGCGUGUAGGCGGGAUUGCAAGUCAGAUGUGAAAACUGGGGGCUCAACCUCCAGCCUGCAUUUGAAACU